This 1288-nucleotide ribosomal RNA is filed under the name metagenome. RNAcentral describes it as "bacterial LSU rRNA". It matches the Rfam family "Bacterial large subunit ribosomal RNA", at positions 1599 to 2875 of the family's 2925-position model. The record is from RNAcentral.
ACCCUGCUUCCAGGAAAAGCCACUAAGCUUCAGUCUAGAAUUGACCGUACCGCAAACCGACACAGGUGGGCAGGUAGAAGAUACUAAGGCGCUUGAGAGAACUCAGGAGAAGGAACUCGGCAAAUUGAUACCGUAACUUCGGGAGAAGGUAUGCCCUGGUAGCUUGUAGGAGAACAUCCGAAGGGCGACGGGGCCGCAGAGAAUCGGUGGCUGCGACUGUUUAUUAAAAACACAGCACUCUGCAAACACGAAAGUGGACGUAUAGGGUGUGACGCCUGCCCGGUGCCGGAAGGUUAAGUGAUGGGGUGCAAGCUCUUGAUCGAAGCCCCGGUAAACGGCGGCCGUAACAAUAACGGUCCUAAGGUAGCGAAAUUCCUUGUCGGGUAAGUUCCGACCUGCACGAAUGGCGUAACGAUGGCCACACUGUCUCCUCCUGAGACUCAGCGAAGUUGAAGUGUUUGUGAAGAUGCAAUCUCCCCGCGGCUAGACGGAAAGACCCCAUGAACCUUUACUGUAGCUUUGCAUUGGACUUUGACGGGACUUGUGUAGGAUAGGUGGGAGGCGCUGAGACCAGGACGCUAGUUCUGGUGGAGCCGUCCUUGAAAUACCACCCUGGUGUCGUUGAGGUUCUAACCUAGGUCCAUCAUCUGGAUCGGGGACCGUGCAUGGUAGGCAGUUUGACUGGGGCGGUCUCCUCCCAAAAGGUAACGGAGGAGUACGAAGGUCUUCUAGGUACGGUCGGACAUCGUACUGAUAGUGCAAUGGCAAAAGAAGGCUUGACUGCGAGACCGACAAGUCGAGCAGGUGCGAAAGCAGGUCAUAGUGAUCCGGUGGUUCUGUAUGGAAGGGCCAUCGCUCAACGGAUAAAAGGUACUCUGGGGAUAACAGGCUGAUUCCGCCCAAGAGUUCACAUCGACGGCGGAGUUUGGCGCCUCGAUGUCGGCUCAUCACAUCCUGGGGCUGUAGCCGGUCCCAAGGGUAUGGCUGUUCGCCAUUUAAAGUGGUACGUGAGCUGGGUUUAAAACGUCGUGAGACAGUUUGGUCCCUAUCUGCCGUGGGCGCUGGAUAUUUGAGGGGGCCUGCUCCUAGUACGAGAGGACCGGAGUGGACGGAUCUCUGGUGUACCGGUUGUGACGCCAGUCGCAUCGCCGGGUAGCUAAAUCCGGAAGAGAUAACCGCUGAAAGCAUCUAAGCGGGAAACUCGCCUCGAGAUGAGAUAUCCCUGGGAACUUGAUUCCCCUGAAGGGUCGUCGAAGACCACGACGUUGAUAGGUCGGGUGUGGAAGCG